UACGUAGGGUGCGAGCGUUGUCCGGAAUUAUUGGGCGUAAAGGGCUCGUAGGCGGUUUGUCGCGUCGGGAGUGAAAACCUUGGGCUUAACUCAGGGCUUGCUUUCGAUACGGGCAGACUAGAGGUAUGCAGGGGAGAACGGAAUUCCUGGUGUAGUGGUGAAAUGCGCAGAUAUCAGGAGGAACACCGGUGGCGAAGGCGGUUCUCUGGGCAUGAUCUGACGCUGAGGAGCGAAAGUGUGGGGAGCGAACAGG
Molecule: ribosomal RNA, 253 nt
Filed under: uncultured bacterium
Lineage: Bacteria
Description: partial 16S ribosomal RNA
Rfam family: Bacterial small subunit ribosomal RNA
Source: RNAcentral